This 2111-nucleotide long non-coding RNA is filed under the name Toxoplasma gondii VEG. The record is from RNAcentral. Lineage: Eukaryota; Apicomplexa; Conoidasida; Eucoccidiorida; Sarcocystidae.
CGUCUCUCGCAGCCAAGAUGUCCGUUUCAGCAGGCACGUGUUGGAGCUGCACCAGUUGCGAACCAGGAUCAAGAACACGCCUGUGACCAAUCUUUGAGUUAAGCAUCUCGCAAACGAAUACGGUCAAUUCCAUAGGGAGGAUAGAAUGAACGGCUUGUAAUUCCUUCAGCUUUGGUCUCAACCACGUGAAUGUACCUUUGGUGGAGUAUAUAGAAUGGACAAAAUGUCGAUAAAACAUUACACACCCCUCUGGUCCGCACGAAUUGUUCAAAACAGAAUACAUGGGAAUCAUUUCGCGUCUCCAUUUGAAUGUUCAUUCACUUAUAACUCGGAGUGUCCACAGUCAUCAAUCACAAAUUCGGGGUGGCCCCCAGAAUAAGCUGCGACUCUUCUCCCCUCGCUAUUGCCGCGGGACGUCUAAGCAGGAUAACGGGCAUACACUGGACUUUAGAACUCCGGACGUCAUUGGGCGCAUCCUCAGGUGAAUACUGGCAAACAUAUACGAAGGCAUCAACAACAACCUGUUUGGCUUUUUGCCGUCUCACGCCAGACUCUUCAGAGCCAGGACGCCUAUCCGAUGGACAACGCCGGCCCCGAGAGCAGCUGCGUUUCACUAGCGCCGGCUUCAGGAUUUGACCAUGUCUCAUUAGGGUUGGUUUGAAGAGGAACCGACAAGCGGUAAAACUGGAUAAAAGUGAGUUUCCUUCUGCGCGGUAGGGCGAUGACCAGGGAACUGUUGUUUUCUUUGCUGCCCGGAAAAGUACCCGCUCACAACUGCUUCCAUCUGAAACCGUAGGACAACAGUCAGUAUCGUCGAUCGACAUGACUCCUUCGUCCUGCUUCCCGUGUUUCAGACGAGAAUGCCGAGCUCUUUUGGCACUUUUAGGUGUAGGGUAGCUUCUGUGCAUCGCGUAAGCACAACCGGACACGUCCGGGAAUGAUAGAGAGACAUCAUUUCCCCCGAAGUCCGUCUGGGCGUCUAAGGAAGUUCUUGAAAUCCUCCUUUGAGAAGCCAUUCCCUCAGGACGAUGCCGUCGUGACGGUAGUGGACCGAAACAACCAAAGCUACGCUUGUCCAGUUCUGUAUCUAUCUGCCCGGUAAGUCCUGCCGAUCUAGAUUGCCGACUCCUGAUGUGUAUCCGCCGACUUGCUUUGCAUUCCGGAGCCGCCAGCUUUCCUUGGGCCUGCGACAUACAUGUCAAGUCCAAGAUUUGGUAUGCUGGCGUUUGCAUCUUCGCGGAAGCUCGCUGUCACGCAGUGUUCGGUGGGACUGCUACACGUCACUUCAACUCCAACGAUAUUGUGCCAUUUACGUUAAUUCACCUGCCUGCAAAAACGGACAUGACCAGCUUGUUACAACGAUGCUGCACUGAGAGCAGGGAAUGCAGCAGCAAAUGCUGCUCAUCUUACCGUUUCUCGCAGGCCCACCAUGGUACCAGAAAGGCCAAGCUUGCGGAGGAGUUUACCCAGGCGGCUGCACUGAGAUUCUGCGGCACGGCCGAGGCCGUCGACGAUCAAGAGCUUGUCACUCAUGUUUGCAUGGAAUUGGAGCCACGACAGCACUCUCAAUCCUUUUAAGAAAAAUUAGGAGGGGCCGGUGCCUCACAGAGAACAACUAGAUAGCUGCGGCUACUCUAACCGCUAAAUCGUUUUUGCCCGCAUGAGGAUUCCUUAUCUUCGGAUGAUCAAUGCCCGGGCUUUUCCCAUACCCCGCCUUUCUCCGUAGGAUCGACACUGGUAACAAAUUAAGAAAAUGAUAGCGGGUGGAGACGCAGUGCAGAUGCAAGUCCGACCACUGCAGGGUAGCAGACAGGCGUGUACACCUCAGCGAGCUGUGCGCGCCAUCUCAGUUCUCAACCGGCUUUGAAAUUCAUACCUCUAGAUGAAUACGAGCCUGUUGAUGCAUGAACAGUGACUGUUCUUUAUUGGAGGCAGAGGUAAGCUCACUUCUUGUCAGAUGUGGAAGUGCUGGCGGCCACGGGCAAACCAGGAAAAACAAAUUGUGCUUCCAGAGGUGGACUGGAGUUGCAGCAGUCUUCUCCCAGCGUCUGCUUGGGCUUGGCAUGCAGAUUGUUGACUAAAGGCGGUGGUCCAUUUUCCCAGUAUCCGAC